UAUAAACCCCAUAGGAGGUCAGCCAGCUGAGUAUCCAGUUUAAAGUUCAGAGUUGAAACUCACAGCACCAAGCAAAAAGGAAGCAGAUCAAGGGUAGCCGAGCGAGCAGAGGUUGUCAAUUACGUGCCUUAAUAUGAGUCAUUGGAAGCAGCCGUCGAAACUCGCCAUGCUUGUAGUACUGCUGCUGCUGCUAUGUCAUGCAGUGGACAAAGUCCAUUGCUCGACGCACCAUAACAACAGCCAAGAUUUUCAUUCCCUGCUUGAGUUUCACAAGGGCAUCACCAGUGAUCCGAACGAAGCCUUGAGCAAUUGGAACCCCAGCAUCCACUUCUGCCAUUGGCAUGGUGUGAACUGCAGUUUCACUCGACCAUAUCGAGUCACGGAGCUCAAUCUCACCGGCCAAAACUUGGCUGGCCAAAUCAGCUCCUCUCUUGGAAACCUGACCUUCCUUCAUACCCUUGAUCUUAGCUACAAUAGCUUCAGUGGCCCCCUACCUCUUCUUAACAAGCUCCGAAACCUGGACGUACUCUUUCUGGGAAGCAACCAUUUGGGGGAUGUUAUUCCCGAUUGGCUUACAAACUCUUCCAACUUAGUUGAUCUAGAUCUCUCUGAAAACAAUCUCACCGGCCAUAUUCCUUCAAACAUAGGCUUCCUAACGAAGCUAGAAGGUAUAGCCCUUUACAAUAAUAAUCUCACCGGUGUCAUCCCACCAACCUUGGGAAACAUCUCCACACUAGAGGUAGUUGAUUUUUCAGCGAAUCAACUAAGCGGAAGCAUUCCUAAUAAAGUUUGGCAAAUCUCAAACAUAACAAUGUUAAAUCUAGGACAAAAUAACCUAUCAGGUGGAAUCCCAGAUACUCUCUCUAACUUCUCUUCUCUUACAGCAUUAGGCUUGAACAACAAUAAGCUAGGCAGCGCAUUGCCAUCAAACAUUGGCGAUGUGUUCCGUCAUCUAAAUGAACUAUACUUAGAUAACAACAUUUUUGUGGGUACAAUUCCAACUUCCCUAGGUAAUCCUUCGAGUCUAGAAGCCCUAGACCUAUCAAACAAUCAUUUCAGUGGCAAAAUCCCAAGUUCUUUUGGAAGACUUUCAAAGUUACAGAUUUUAAACCUUGAGCUAAACAUGCUUGAAGCAAGGGAUAGUGAAGGCUGGCAAUUCUUUGAUGCCCUGGCAAACUGUAGUUCCCUGAAUAUACUUUCAGUGUCUCAAAAUCUUCUACAUGGACCUAUACCAAAUUCGAUUUCAAAUCUGUCCACCACUCUUCAAUACCUAAUGAUGGCUUCGAACAACCUAUCAGGAACCGUUCCCCCAACUAUUGGAAAAUUUAGUGGCUUGAUUAAAUUAUCACUUGCAAACAACAACCUUACAGGUACCAUUGAGGAAUGGGUCGGAAACAUGACAAAACUACAAAUCUUAGGACUACAAUCGAACAACUUUGCAGGGGAAAUUCCUCCUUCAAUUGGCAAUCUUACACAGUUGAUACACUUCUCUAUAGCCAGGAACAAUUUCUUCGGCUCUGUACCCAUCUAACUUGUGCAAUCUUAAAUUAAUGUCGUGGUUGGACCUUAGCCAUAACAAUUUCCAAGGGAGCAUACCUGUUCAGUUUGGUAACUCAGAACUCAUGUCGCUAAAUCUUUCAUCAAACAAAUUCAGCGGCGAAAUUCCUGAAACUUUAGGACAUAUCGAACAAUUAACGGUCAUUCAAAUGGACCAAAACAAUCUUACUGGAAACAUCCGUCCACAUUGAGGAAUCUAUACAGCUUGAGCUUGCUCACCCCAUAACAAUUUAUCCGGCCUAAUGCCAACUUUUCUAAGUGGUCUAAAUCUCAGUAAACUAGAUCUAUCCUACAAUAGUUUCCAAGGAGUAAUACCUACAACCGGUCUAUUCGAUAAUUCUACAGUUGUUUCGCUAGAUGGGAAUCCGAGAUUAUGUGGAGGAGCCAUGGAUUUGCAUAUGCCUCCAUGCCAUGUUGCUUCAAGAAGAGCACGCAGAGCAAGCUUAUUGAUUGAAAUAUUGAUCCCAAUAUUUGGGUUCAUGUCACUCGUAUUGCUGGUGCACAUUUUACUCCUAGAGAAGAGGCAGUCAAGAAGACUAUGGAUCGAAGCAAUCAUUUGAGGAAGAUAUGGUUCGGUGUACCGAGGGAAGCUGAAGGAAAUGGAAGUGGCAGUAAAGGUUUUUGACCUGGAGAUGAGAGGAGCAGAAAGAAGCUUCUUGUCAGAGUGUGAAGCAUUGAGAAGCAUUCAACACCGGAAUCUUAUCCCCAUCAUAACUGCUUGCUCAAUAGUAGGUACUUUCAAAGCUUUAAUUUUUGAGUUCAUGUCUAAUGGCAACCUGGACACAUGGCUACGUCACAAAGGAGACGAGGAGGCUACAAGGUGUCUUGGCUUAACUCAAAGAAUAAACAUAGUUGUUAAUAUAGCUGAUGCAUUGGAUUAUUUGCACCAUGGUUGUGGGCGGCCAACUGUUCACUGUGACUUGAAACCCAGCAAUAUACUUCUAGAUGAUGACAUGAAUGCUCUCUUGGGAGAUUUUGGAAUUGCAAGUUUCUAUUAUGAUUUUGAGACAAAAUGGACAUGUUCAAGUAGUUCAAUUGGUAUAAAGGGAACAAUUGGAUAUAUUCCUCCAGAAUACGGAGUAGGUGGCCAUGCAUCAACAUGUGGGGAUGUUUAUAGUUUUGGGAUUGUGUUGUUGGAGAUUUUGACGAGUAAAAGGCCAACAGACCCUAUGUUCGAAGAUGGCUUAAACAUCAUCAACUUUGUGGAGAACAACUUUCCGAAUCAAAUAUUUCAAGUCAUUGACGCUCACCUCCUGGAAGAAUGCAGGAACUCAACUCAAGGAAAUAAUUUGGUACAAGAAAAUGAAAUCUAUCAGUGCUUGGUUGAUCUGCUGCAAUUAGCACUUUCAUGCAUUUGCCCAUUACCAUCUGAACGAUUGAACAUGAAGCAAGUAGCCAGCAGAAUGCAUGAAAUAAAAAAACAUCACAUAUUAGGUGGAAGCACAAGUAAUAAUAGCAAGGGCGACAGAUCCAGAAUAUAAAUCUUCCUAUGGUGAAGCUCCCAAAAUUUGAAUUAAGGCCCUAUGUGGGAGGGUUAUACUUCAAAAAAUGUAGUUUCGGUUUUCCAGCUUCACCAUGAAACAACUUAAUAGAUUAGUAAGGCGUGGUUCAAGUGUGUUUGGCUUGCACAUAGACUCCAGCUUCUAUAAUACAAUUAAUUUUUGUAAGUUUACUUAAUUACCCUUAAUGAUUAGCGAGUGGAGAAAGAGACACAAAUCGGUAGUUCUUAUAAAUCAAUGGCGUAUUGGAUAAUUUUGGUGCAACUUCAGAGAAGUAUAAAAAUAGUGUUUUUGAAACAACCUUUGAAAAGCUUCGAAAAUUUUAUGAAACUAGCCUCUAGUUUUAGUUUUUUAAAGCUAGAGCUAGCUGAGCUGGGCCUGUUUGGAUAGAAGCUGAAAUAGGCUUGAAAUUCUUGAAGUGAAGCUCUCCCAAAUAGGGUCUAUAUAUAAUAUGAGCAUAAUGAAUAUUUGGCAUAUGCAAAGAGCUAGGGCCUACAAAGCUUGUAUCUAUAAAUAGGUCCCAGUUAGAUAAAAUCGGUUAGGGAGCGCUUAUCACUUCAAGUCGAAAGACUAUAAAAUGUACAUUUCAUGAUAAUAAUAAUUAUAAGGCAGACAUUCACCCAAGAAACAUGUGCUUCUCAUCUCACGCAUCGUCGCCCCUUGACCAAGGGUUUCCUAAGAUAAGUCCCAUGAUGCCAUGGCUCAAUCUCUUGUAGAUUUCAUCAAGACAAUAUGAUGUUGUCACCUUACCUAGUAGAUCUUGGACUAAUCGUUGUGGUUGGCAAGAUCUGCUAGUUAUCUUGUGUAGUAUCAAUUUAUUUCAUGCUGAGCUUAAUGUUAUUAGAUUGAUCUUGCAUGACCAAACAUGUAUCUCUUGUACAAUUGCUACAAUCCACAACAUGAGAAUGCAACAUGUGUAUGUAGCAACUCGAGAGUUUGAUAUGCAUAUGGCAUCUUACCUUACAUUCUUUAGUCACAUUGUUUAUUCUGGAUGAACUUUUUUUGAGGUCCUUAUCUAUGUUUGCUUGCAUGACCAUCAAUAUACCGACUACAAAUGUUCCUAGGGUAAUUGGCAUGAUACAUAAUAUAGAUUGGAUCUAGGAUGUUCCUAUGAAUGAUUUACUAUUUAUUUGGCCCUAGAUUUGGUUGAUAGUGUGUUUAAUCCUGGUGUCUUCUUAGCCUAUUGUUGCGCUCGUGGUUGUGCAUGUUUACUUUUGCUUUCAAUGAAUGUUUACUUUCACUUAUUUAGUUGAUACCGACCUAGAAAAGCUGACAAUAACCUCAAGGUAGCGUGUUAAUGUAAUUAGUACAUGCUGAUCCACAUGAUAUGGCAGGAAUUUGAUGUUUUAAUCUGUUAUUGUGCAUCUAUAGAGUAAUUUAAUGACUACAUUACACCCUCCCUACUUGAUAGAUCAAGCCAAGUGGCAUGCUUAGAACCCACUAACAACCUCUUGCAAUUAGAAGCAGUCGGAGCCACAACAAAGAGAGAUGACCACAAUACCAAUGCAUCUCUUGUCUCCUUGUGUGUCGACUGUGUUGACGAUAAACCAUAGUUUUCCCAUGAUGAGACAUGUCAGGCACACCCGAUGAGACAUCGACAUCGACCACUGCAUCAGUCAAUUUACAUCCGCUCAGCGACAUCGGCUCAUCUUCAUUGACUUAUCUACAUCGGCUCAUUCUCGUCAACAUGACCCAAGCAAGGAAGGAGAUUCCUAGCUACAGCGACGGGAUUAAAUGUUGGCUACCAAGCAAGACUAGGCCACCCUAGCUCGAGGAGAUCAACCUAGAUAUGUUGUAAUGCUAUGACCAGGCUCUCAAGAGGCUAACCAAUGAGCUUCUUGUGUGCUUCACGUGGACUCACUCCAGUGGUGACAAACUCACCCGAAAAUUAUUGAGAUGUAACAAACUAACAUCAUCUCUAGUUGUCGAUACCACCGAUAGAGGGUGUUUGGUAUAUGUUUACCAUAUUUACUUCAUAUUCUUAGAAUAUACUGUAAGAUUAUGGGGAGGCUACACUAGCACAAAACAAAAUUUUCGACCCCAUAAACCAAGAUCUACUGCUGUUAGGUCAUGGAAUUACCACAAGACGUGCAGGACAACGAAAGCCAUCUUGAUGUAGACGAACACGUCAAGCAGUGUCGUGCAGUCGCCAGUGUCCUUCACGACCUCGUGUGGUUUUCCUAGUGCUCUAGAUGUAGCACCUCCAAGGUAUCCACAUGUAUAGGAAGGAAGCAUCGCGUACCGACCUGUUAGGUUUGCGACGGAGGCUUGGCGAGGGCGAGAUGGGCGCGACUGCUGGUUUGCUGGUGGUGAAUUAGGUUAACCCUAAGCACGCGCCAGCCCCUCAUUGUAUAUCCAUUGUAGUGGGAUUCUCACUCCGAGGCCCAUCAGCAACCCUAAAACCCAGUCUAAUUUCAGAUCCAAUCCGAGUUAGGCUUCCUUCCCCUUAAGUGUGUGACCUUGUAGGUUCACGUACACAUAGACAUGUCCUGAGUACUCAUACUUCGCCCAAUAAUUAACAACGGCCUCUAGCAAGACAUGUCAACUCCUAUGCACAUGUAAAGAUCAUAUCAGAUGAACCAUUACAACAUUACGUA
This is an RNA transcript of Zea mays, 5653 nucleotides long. It is a transcript of the gene named LRR receptor-like serine/threonine-protein kinase pseudogene, with no coding region annotated. The transcript has 4 exons. Lineage: Eukaryota; Viridiplantae; Streptophyta; Magnoliopsida; Poales; Poaceae. The record is from RefSeq and is marked validated.